AACUGCAGAAUUUAUAGCCAACAGCCAGGUGCACCUAAUCACCACUCCACCCCGCGGCAGCUGCUAUAAAUUCAGUCAGUCUCUUGCUGCCUCCUUGCUGAUAACUGGCUGCUUCUUCUCAACUCCCUAAUCAGCCAUUGAUGCUUCUCUCACCUACAUUCUCUGAGAGGCAAUGGCUGCUUGGCCACUUGCACGGAGUCCACAUCUUUCCUCCAAAGGCCACUCUGCCCCACUGGCUCCUCCUGUGGCAACCGCUCACCUGGGCCCAUCUCGGAUGCCUCCACACUCAGAUCACAAACUUGACUCUCCUCAGAUGUCCCCUUGCUUCCCGUGGCCUGUGAUGAAGAACAAUCAAACCGAACUGGACCUCGACAGAGGAACAAACGUUUAGUUCUCAGCUCAAGGAAUAGCUGAGAGGUGCUUCCUUGUUUACAUCCUGAAGGACGUCAUCUUGUUUUGUGCUUUCCUCAGAUGCUAUUGUGCAAGGCAAACAUUUGAACACACAGGAAGAAUGAGAAACUGAAGACUGGGGCCAGUCACUUAUAUAAUCUAAUGAGUUUCUGCUGGCCCAGGGCCUGGGAACUGUGCAGAAGUACUCCCUUCUGACACUGCCUGCCAAAGCAGCUGUUUGUCUUUACUGUUCUGCAUCUGGAGGGAAAUAAUAAGGAAAUUAGUAUGGGAAAUAAGUGGGGAGGGCACACAAAAAAAACCUGUGCAAGGGAGGCUGAGAAUUACUUCCCCUACAAAAACCAAUAUUGGACUAGGCAUGGGAAGUGUGCUGAAACAAAUCAAACCCUAAGCAACCAAGAACUAUUGGGUGGACCACUGCAGCUACAGUUCUGCAAUGAGCUUAAUGAAGAUACUUAACUGAAAACGUGUCUUCUCAACAAAGAAACGGUGGAAUGAAAUUCAUUAGCUGAGCACUCAUGGUUGGGUCUGCACAUGCGCAGACACCAUUUCCUUCAUGACGCUGCCCAAAGGCUGCAGGGAACAGGGAACUUCAUGUUCCUGGCAAAAUGUGGCUGGGCAAACAGGGAGCCUGACUGCUGAAUACAAAGAGUACAGCUUGGGAGUGGCAGAGGAGCAAGGGGGGGGGGCAGGUAAGACCUGCCUUCCUCCUUUUAAAGUGCCUGCUUGCCCCCCACUGCAUUUCGGCACCUCAAAACAGAGGUGCCAAAAGGCUUUGAACACAUCCCUAGAAUGAAUGAGACUGUUCUCCAACUGUCUAGUUCAGGUGUUCCCAACCUGUCGUUCUCCAGAUGUUGCUGAACUACAACUUCCAUCACCCCAAGCUAAAAUUUAUUAUGGCUGGGGAUGAUGGGAGUUGUAGUUCAGCAACAUCUGGUGUACUACAGGUUGUGAACCCCUGGUCUAGUCUAUAGAAACAAAAGCCUUUAAAUAAAUAAAGCCUAUAAAUAUAAAGUCACCCUUUUUCUCUGAGUUUGGAUGUAAUUACUCUAACAGCAAGAAACUGGGAUUAUAUAAUCCGGGGAAGGAUCUCAUAACAAUGGUUUUCUUCAGUGAGAUGAGCACUAGAAUUUACUAUAGAGUUCUACUCUAGAACCCUAGAGUGUUCUGUUGGAGUACUUUUAAAAAAGAAUCUUGUGGUACCUGCUAACUGAACAAGGAGGCAUUUUUCAAGUGGCGGUUUUAUUUUAACUGAACUGGCAUAGGGGCUUUCCAGUGGUGGUGGUUGGUGUUUCCUUUGUGCUUAGCUUUGUUUUUUGGGUUGUAAGCCUGUUCAGGACAGAGAAUUAUCCAAUGUUUUCUUUUGCUAUGAACUAUUUAUGAGCUAUAAACUGUUUUGUGAACUUUUUUUUUGGCUGAAAUGUGGCAUAUAAAUAAAUAAAUAAAUAAUAGUACCUGAA
Hemicordylus capensis (graceful crag lizard) is the source of this 1868-nucleotide long non-coding RNA. RefSeq lists it as uncharacterized. The record is from RefSeq and is a predicted model, not a curated record. The transcript has 2 exons. Lineage: Eukaryota; Metazoa; Chordata; Lepidosauria; Squamata; Cordylidae.